This 269-nucleotide ribosomal RNA is filed under the name Escherichia coli. RNAcentral describes it as "partial 23S ribosomal RNA". It matches the Rfam family "Bacterial large subunit ribosomal RNA", at positions 1 to 270 of the family's 2925-position model. RNAcentral also lists the same sequence under 2 other names. The record is from RNAcentral. Lineage: Bacteria; Pseudomonadati; Pseudomonadota; Gammaproteobacteria; Enterobacterales; Enterobacteriaceae.
GGUUAAGCGACUAAGCGUACACGGUGGAUGCCCUGGCAGUCAGAGGCGAUGAAGGACGUGCUAAUCUGCGAUAAGCGUCGGUAAGGUGAUAUGAACCGUUAUAACCGGCGAUUUCCGAAUGGGGAAACCCAGUGUGUUUCGACACACUAUCAUUAACUGAAUCCAUAGGUUAAUGAGGCGAACCGGGGGAACUGAAACAUCUAAGUACCCCGAGGAAAAGAAAUCAACCGAGAUUCCCCCAGUAGCGGCGAGCGAACGGGGAGGAGCCC